GAUGAAGAACGCAGCGAAAUGCGAUAAGUAAUGUGAAUUGCAGAAUUCAGUGAAUCAUCGAAUGUUUGAACGCUCAUUGCGGCCGCCAGUAUUCUGGCGGGCAUGCCUGUUCGAGCGUCAUUUCAACCAUCAAGCCCCCGGCUUGUGUUGGGGACCUGCGGCUGCCGCAGGCCCUGAAAAGCAGUGGCGGGCUCGCUGUCACACCGAGCGUAGUAGCAUACAUCUCGCUCCGGGCGUGCUGCGGGUUCCGGCCGUUAAACCACCUUCAUAACCCAAGGUUGACCUCGGAUCAGGUAGGAAGACCCGCUGAACUUAAGCAUAUCAAUAAGCGGAGGA
Molecule: unclassified non-coding RNA, 336 nt
Filed under: soil metagenome
Description: partial contains 5.8S ribosomal RNA, internal transcribed spacer 2, and large subunit ribosomal RNA
Rfam family: 5.8S ribosomal RNA (bases 1-120)
Source: RNAcentral